RNAcentral lists this ribosomal RNA (433 nucleotides) under uncultured bacterium. Its description in RNAcentral is "bacterial SSU rRNA". It matches the Rfam family "Bacterial small subunit ribosomal RNA", at positions 958 to 1392 of the family's 1533-position model. The record is from RNAcentral.
AACGCGAAGAACCUUACCUGGUCUUGACAUCCUGGGAACCCUGAAGAGAUUCGGGGGUGCCGCAAGGAGCCCAGAGACAGGUGCUGCAUGGCUGUCGUCAGCUCGUGUCGUGAGAUGUUGGGUUAAGUCCCGCAACGAGCGCAACCCUUGUCCUUAGUUGCCAUCAUUCAGUUGGGCACUCUAAGGAGACCGCCGGUGACAAACCGGAGGAAGGUGGGGAUGACGUCAAGUCAUCAUGGCCUUUAUGACCAGGGCUACACACGUGCUACAAUGGCAGAUACAGAGGGAAGCCAACGCGCGAGCGGGAGCCAAUCCCAGAAAAUCUGUCGUAGUCCGGAUUGGAGUCUGCAACUCGACUCCAUGAAGUCGGAAUCGCUAGUAAAGCGAGAUCAGCAUUGCUGCGGUGAAUACGUCCCCGGGUCUUUACACACCG